This 2005-nucleotide unclassified non-coding RNA is filed under the name Hevea brasiliensis (rubber tree). Lineage: Eukaryota; Viridiplantae; Streptophyta; Magnoliopsida; Malpighiales; Euphorbiaceae. The record is from RNAcentral.
GAGAGAGUGUGUGUGUGUGUCUUCGAUAGUGAUACCAAGACCUACCACCACUAGCUACUGCGAACGAGGCCCCAAAAACCAAAACCGGAUAUGCUCAUACGCUUCUCCUGUCCCGCUCGCGCUCUCUUUCUGUCUUCUCUUAUCUCCUUCUUGUUCUUGUUAUUCUUUCCAUUUCAUCUUACCUUUUCUUCUCUCUGAUCUAAUCUUUAUAACACACAAUGCUUUAAAUCUUUAUCCAAUAAAGAAUCCUUCAAUUUAUCCAAUAAAGAACCCUUCAAUUUCUUGGCUCUAAAACCUUUCUUUCUAUCUUCACUUCUUCACUCACUCAUACCAGAUAUAUUUAUUUAUUGAGAUAGAAAAGAGCUCUGAAAAUGGGGGUUGAUUUGAGGCAAGUUGUUGCUGGUAUACUCACUCUCACAAUGUUCGUGAUGCUUGGGAACAUGAUCAAGAGAGACCACUUUGAUUCUGUUGAAGAAAAAUUUCCGGGAGGAGCUGUGGAUGCUGAAUUUGAUAGUGGGAAGGUUAUGGAGCAGGGCCUUGUAACAUUUACAAAGAUGGGUAAUGGGCCUUGGAUGGAGGAUGGCCAACAGCUAAAACCGUGCUGGACAGAGUCAAAUUUUGAUCAGGUAGAGCAGUCCAAAGGGUUUGUCACUUUCUCAUUAACUAAUGGGCCAGAAUAUCAUAUCUCGCAGAUUGCUGAUGCAGUAGUGGUAGCAAGAUAUGUUGGAGCAACUCUUGUGAUUCCUGACAUUAGAGGAAACAAGCCAGGUGAUGAGAGGAAGUUUGAAGAAGUAUAUGAUGUUGAGAAAUUUGUGAAAAGCCUGGAUGGGGUAAUCAAAGUGGUCAAGGAUCUACCUGAUGAUAUAUCAAUUCGAGAUUUUGCUGUUGUCAAGGUCCCUAAUCGUGUUACAGAAGAUCACAUUGCAGAAUUAGUUGAACCAAUCUUUAGAACGAAGGGGAACAUAAGACUGGCUACUUACUUCCCCUCAGUAAAUAUGAGAAAGACCACACUAAAAAGUAACACUGAUUCAGUUGCGUGUUUAGCAAUGUUUGGAACUUUAGAGUUGCAGCCAGAGGUUAAUGAAGUUGUUGACUCCAUGAUCGAGCGGUUAAAAACCCUGAGUCGCAAGUCUGAUGGCCGGUUUAUAGCUGUGGACUUGAGAGUUGAGAUAUUGGAAAAGAAGAGUUGCCAUGGAAGUGGUGCUGGUGGAACAAAAACUUGCUAUGAUGCCAAGGAGAUAGCCCUCUUUUUAAGAAAGGUUGGAUUUGAUAAGGAUACGGUAAUCUACUUAACUCAGUCAAGGUGGGAUGACAGCCUUGAUGUUUUGAAGGAUAUAUUUCCAAAAACUUAUACAAAGGAAAGCAUCAUGCCUGAAGAUAAAAAGACAAAGUUCCUCGAAUCAGAAGAUUCAGAAUUUGAAAAAGUUAUUGACUUCUACAUCUGUUCUCAAAGUAAUGUCUUUGUACCAGCCAUAUCUGGCCUAUUCUAUGCCAAUGUAGCAGGUAAGAGAAUAGCUUCUGGCAAGACGCAAAUACUUGUUCCAGCAGACAUUCCAGGUUCCUCUGCGUCUGUCACCAAUCAUUUCUCCCCCUAUGUCUCAAAGAAGAACCACUUGGCCUAUUCAUGUGUUUGCUAGUAAUGUGUAAAAAAGGAAGGGAAAAAAGAAAAAAAAACUGAGAACAAAAAACGCACAACACCUUUAUUAUUUGAAGUCUUGAAUGAUGGUCUUACAUCACCUCAGUCAAUCUCUUCUAGUAAGCAGAUAGGUGAGUUCCAUCAUGCAAUCUUCAAUUUGUGUGUCAAAAACAAAGUUAAGCUGAUUUUUGAAGAUCAUUCUACAGUACAGGUAGCUUUGUGGACGGUAUAUAUAUAUAUUCAAGAAUGUUUUUGAUGCUUUGUAGACCGAAGUAAAUUUGUUUACUUGCAAAAUUAGCUGGUAUUUGAUGACAUUGUUUAAUGGAUUAUUUGUUGACAUUUGAGAUCCACUCCAUAUUCUGUUUGUUC